This 64-nucleotide transfer RNA is filed under the name Ibla cumingi. RNAcentral describes it as "tRNA-Asn". Lineage: Eukaryota; Metazoa; Arthropoda; Thecostraca; Iblomorpha; Iblidae. The record is from RNAcentral.
UUAACUAUAGCUAAUAAAAAGCAAAAUCACUGUUAAUGAUUAGAUAAGAAUCUCUUUGGUUAAG